Molecule: transfer RNA, 85 nt
Filed under: Felis catus (domestic cat)
Lineage: Eukaryota; Metazoa; Chordata; Mammalia; Carnivora; Felidae
Rfam family: tRNA
About the family: Transfer RNA (tRNA) molecules are approximately 80 nucleotides in length. Their secondary structure includes four short double-helical elements and three loops (D, anti-codon, and T loops).
Source: Rfam by way of RNAcentral
ACCUGGGUGGCUCAUUUGGUUAAGCGUCUGACUUUGGCUCAGGUUAUGAUCUCACUGUUUGUGGGUUCAAGCCCCACAUCGGGCU